GGAUUGCAAUUCUACUCUCUUUGCGGACUUUGAAACUGUUCUUAAGGAUGACACGGAAAUGAUGGAGGUUGAUGAUCAAUCCAUCCUAACUGAAGCCUGAAACAUGAUUGUAUGAUGUUGCUGCUGCUGCUUGGUUGCGACGAGAAGGCGGACGACCCGGCGUGCUACACUGCUACCUGUUGUUAUUUACAUUUAUCCAUGGCUGCUACACUACUACUUCCUACUGCUAGCUUGUAUUUGUAUUUCUGCUGCUAUUUGUGCACCUGAACCUUGUAUCUCUGCUCCUGAACCUUGUAUUUGUGCUUCUGAAGACCUGCACCAUGUAUUUGUGAUGCUAUUUGUGCU
Molecule: long non-coding RNA, 345 nt
Organism: Triticum aestivum (bread wheat)
Lineage: Eukaryota; Viridiplantae; Streptophyta; Magnoliopsida; Poales; Poaceae
Exons: 2
Source: RefSeq, a predicted model, not a curated record